CCGUCUCCUCCUCAAAGCCACCAUCCUCUGAACUCACUUGUGAGAGAAAGCGUGAAAUCCAGCGGAUUCAGGGCCUCCAAGUCCUCACCGGCGCCCGUCAGCCAGGGCCUUCCAAGGUCUUCUCUACGCCAUCUCACGCUUCCGCUGCGAAAUCUUCUUGUGAACACCUUUGACCUCUGCUCUUCUGUACUCUAUUUCUCUCUCCCUACCUAUCUGUCGAUCUAUCUAUCAAUCUUUCGAUCCGUCGACGUAUUUAUCUGACCGCUUGUCUGCAUCAGUUACCGAUCUAUUAUUAUUUAUGCAAGCUAUUUCUCUCUGGCAUGGUUGCAGGUUCUUUGGCAGUCUGAUCCUGAGAGGUAUCGGCAUCAUCCAGAAGAUCCUUGGCGUCUCGUCGUCACCCAUCAGUAUCUCCUCCACCCCUCAGAGCAGCGGACGACGAAGUAAAGAGUAAAAGCUAGGUUUGUACAUCAAAUUGUAGACAGAAAUACAUUUUCCAUCUCCGAUCAUUUCGUUUUGCUUCGAUCAAGCUCCUGAUUCCCCUUUUUUUUUGGAGCCUCUUCUCCCUCCCGACGGCCAAUGAUGGCGAAAGAAACAGACGAGGGGGAGGAGCAGGGUCGCAAACAAAGAGGGGACCCCUUUUCGGCUACUUCCCAAAUACUCACCUUAACAUAAUUUAUGCCCUCAACAUCCUAACCCUCUCUGCCAUCUUCCUUCAGAGACGACUGCAAUAUUCAUCGCCAAGAACAGGAAUUAUUUACACUGCUGCUGGUGCUGCUUCUACAGCGACCCCCAAAUAUUAUCUGAACUCUGGAGCGGAAGAUAGAGUAAGCGAGAGAGAGAGAGAGAAGAGCAGAAAAAAAAU
This 862-nucleotide long non-coding RNA is filed under the name Spirodela polyrhiza (greater duckweed). Its description in RNAcentral is "long non-coding RNA (SPOL_LNC000989)". Lineage: Eukaryota; Viridiplantae; Streptophyta; Magnoliopsida; Alismatales; Araceae. The record is from RNAcentral.